Long non-coding RNA from Cygnus olor (mute swan), 5148 nucleotides. RefSeq lists it as uncharacterized. The record is from RefSeq and is a predicted model, not a curated record. Lineage: Eukaryota; Metazoa; Chordata; Aves; Anseriformes; Anatidae. The transcript is spliced from 4 exons.
ACAGCAUUCCUGGCUUGAUUUUCCUCUCUCUUGCGCCAGUGUGUGAACAGCAAAAGGUUCAUCAAACUCAUUGGAGUGGGUCAAAUCAACCUCUUUUAAUGCUCGGGCAUGACCCCACAGCACGGGAGCAUAAAGACUCCAUCCACAAAUUAAAGAUUUCUCCUGCUGGCAGGCCUGCUGAGUAACCAAGCCCCAAGUCAAAACCACCUUCUGGUAAACACAGAGACUCUGAACCGCAGUUUGCCGGCUUUCUUCUUUGUGACUAAUGACCACCAUGAAGAGCUUCACAGCAGUGUGGCCUGUUACCGGAGCCAGAAAAUACUUGUUUUUGCCUACAAGGGCAGUCUGUGCAUUUUAAGACAUCCGAUACCAAUUUGACGCUUCAGCCAAGCUCCACAGGUUGAGAACUACACCUAAGUAGAGUGAUACCGUGGGCCUCCACCCAAAAGCAAAAGCUUCAAAUAAGGGGAAGCAUGUAGAGAAGAUAAAUUCCCUCUGGGAUGUGUUUAUAUUGACUCAUUUCCUUGGACGCUGAUGUGUCUCCGAUGGGGAAAAGGGGACAGGAGAAAGCGCAAGAAUCCCUUAAGUCAACCGUGCGAUCAAGAAAAAGGUAAACAAAGUUACAUACCUAAGCAUUUAGGGUGAAAGGGCAAGACAAAAGGUCCAUAAUUCAUCAUCAGAUGUUUCUUUCCUGACUAAGCAAACAAACAAAAAACAAAUGAAAUAAUGAAGACAGUGGUCGUAGAGCAACAGAACAAAUACGUUGAGAGAUAUUAUGAAAAUGAGAUAAUAUGAAAGGAGAAAACUGUAGAGGUCAUGGAAAGCAAACAGCUUUGGAGCGUGCUGUGCAAGAUUUGGAGAAAGCAACGGGUCAGUUUCCAGCAACGUGAGUUUUACUGGGAUUGUGCUGCUCAGUCUGGGGGGUUAAAAUAAUCAAAGUCUAACAGACAGUAUUAUUUUUGCUCUAAAUUAAUGGCCUCAGUCUAGUCCUUAUAAUUAUGUCUUUGCAGCAUUUAUCAUCCGGGGACAGGAGAUAUAACCAGCGGGAGAGUCUGUCCUGGUACGAAUAGGCCUGUAGGUCAGAGGUGUAGUAACGAGAGAAUCGCAGGAGGACGACGAGUGGAUCCCACAGCCUCCAACAGCAUGAACCUGAUUAUGAGAGACCCUAUAGAACCGAAAAAAAUAAUUACCUGAUAACUAUGCAAAUUGUACCAUGGAUACAGCUGUCAUUGUGAGUGCAAGCACUUUUACAGCUUGUGGGCUUUUUUCGCAUGGGAGGAGGAAACCGCAGCGCAGCUUGGGCCACAUAUAAACUCUCUGGUGGUCACUGUGCAGCGCACCACAACGUUUUAGAGGGACAAUGGGAAUAAAGUUUACAUCCAUGUCUUCCAGGACUCAUAUCCGCUGUAGCUUGAGGCAUAAAAGAUGCUUGUUUGUAGAGGGUUUCUCUGAUCUGUAUUCCUCAAGAGUAUCUUAGGAGUCGAAAAUAAUACAAGUAAUAAACAGCAUGACAUACAAUGUACUGUUAAGCAUUUUAGGCGACAAAACCGAGAAUGUUUAGCUACUAGAAUGUAGCAUUAUUUGCAUUAGGAAAGUAUGCCGUAGGUAGGCACGGCAUAUCACGACCCUUUGCCUUCUGAAAGGGACCUCUAGGUGUAUCUUGGAAUUUCCUAAUAAAGAUUAAUGUAAAGCAUAGUUUAUAACAAGUAUAGAUUUUCACAUCUGUGUUAUAGACAGUUUUGACUUGCCUCUUGCAAGCAAAGGACAUGAGAAUGAGAAAUGACUUGAAGAAAGGAUGUAAGUGAGAAGGGACAAUAAUCCUUAAAGCUUCUGCACGCAGUAGGCAGUAGGUUUCAAUCUGGGCAGAGCGCUCGCUUUUCACCGAGAUUUGAGACAUCAAAGAACCAUUACAAAGCCCUGCCUGCUAAUUUCCCUACAAAACUCUCUGCAGUCAUUCAAGGUUGCAUUAACAGAACCGUUUCUUGAAAGUCCAGCUACAGCAAAUUGAUUCGAAUGACUGUAGGAGGUGUCAUCGCUCGGAACUAUGAUCUUCCCUGCAAAAUCUUUGGACAGAGUCCAAGCACGAGAAACCAUCCACAGAACCUAAAGUUACGAAGCAAUGUAUCCUCGCAGAAACCGAUCCAACACUGUAGGGAAAGGAGGAAUGCCGAAUCAAUCAGCGAUUUUAAAGGGGUUUCUUUGUCACGCGUACCGUCCACACAAACAACCUAGUUACCCCACUACCAAAAUCUAUGCGGCUCCAAAUCCCAUCCUCUAUUAAACCUUCCUAGCUAUAAUUGUCUCUGCACCUAAGCAUCAAUUCUUUGUUUCGUUGCAGGUUCCCUAGUUCAGUCCAGGAGUCGUUUAAUAAUUAGAAUAGAAUCCGUCAAAUUCUGUUUCUCAGAAAGCCAUUCAACAGAGCAUGAGACUACACAGUAGCCUAUCCCGAUGACUUUGCGUUCUCUACGUUCCCCUGUCUUCUGCAGUUUUCUAUUUCUCCUUUGCAUGUACACUUAUAUGCAGGAUGAAUGAAGGAUACGAGUGUGCAGUAUGGACCAUAACAUCGCAGAAGAAGCGGUGAAGUUACUGUGUUAUGAAAAGACAGAACAGAGAUGGCUAAUCGCGCAGUGGGGGAUUGGAAAUGAAUUUUACGGCACACCUCAGAAAGUAUAUCGUAAGGAAAAUUUAUCUUCGAAGCGAUUCCUUCCUCGGCAGGAAAAUAUUAUGUAUGAACAAAUCAUCACCUUUCUUGGCCUUAGCUGAUAUUACCAAAGGUAACCACCAAGGAACCAGUCCCGUUUCCUUCAGUUGCAGACAUUAAACGGCCACAAUGCUGGCUUUUAAGAAAGCUUUGCAUUCAAGCUGUAAGUUCAGGGUGGGGGAAGGCCGGGAGGCACCAAACUCAGCCUGCACACACAGAUUACGCAUCCUAUGUGCAAAGUCGUUGAUUUAUGCUGAAACCAACAGUUACUGAUUUGUUUUGCGCUGUUGCCUGAAGUAAACGCAUUUCAAAACAUAUAUUGUACUUCAAGUAACGUCAAACUAGAAUUGUGUGCUGGAUAACACUAGAAUGAGUACACUGAAAAAAAACCACCCACAAAUCUGUUUACAGUUUCUCAACAAUGCGAAAUAUCAAACCUAAGAGGUUAUUUUACAAAUAUUUUAUGUGAUUGGAUUUGCAGUCCUCUGUGGAGAGUCUAAGAAGGUAAAGAUGUUCGAAAUAAGGAUUUCUUCUUCCAAGUGGAAAGAGAAAGUGAGAACUAAGUAAAGGGGAAAAAAAAAAAAAAAAAGUGCUCUGGAGAGUUUGUCUCUCGCAGACACAUCCACCAGGAUGCUCUGAACUCGCUCCCCCACUGAUCAUAAGAUCUUUUGACAGAGACUGAGAGUGCCUGGUUACUGGACGCUAGCAUCUCGUUGCAGGAAAUCAACAAGAAAGUAGAAACAGGCCAACCGCACUCAGAGGUAGAUGAAAAGUUUGGCAUAAGGGAUAGUCCAAAAAGAUGCUGGAAUAAUGUAAGUGUGUUUUUAGGCUAUGCGGCGGAGCGGAGGCUGGAAACAGAGGGAAGGAGUGUUUUUUAAAGAGGUCAGUCACAUACCAGAGCCAAAAAUCACGUGAAGGACCUGGCAUAACUGCAGAAACACUACAUACCAUGAGUCCUCACAGAUAUGUAAUUAAAGUAAGUUUUUUCUGACCUAACCAGGACCACACAAAUUCUUUGCGGAUCAAAUCUGCCUAGGUUACUUUCCAAUUUACUGUGUUUGGAUAUCGUUAUUUGUUCACCCCUUUCCCUAUUGUCUUUCAUAGCUGGAAUUUCUUAAAUACAUCACACCUCUUCGGAAGGUCUUUCAGAAGCCUUGCAAACUUACUUGUUAUAUAAAAAAGUAAAGGUCACACAUAGCCAGUACAUGAAACAAAGUAAGUCCAAAUACUAACUCAGAGCAACCGAUUCCACAGAUCAAUAGGAGAGCCAGCAUAAGGCAGUACAGUUUCAGCUGAAAAAUAGCACCGGCAUCAGAGCCGGAGUCCCUCCUGAGCAACAAGAAAGGCAGCUAAGUGACAGAGGAUAGACAGGAAACUAUCACUUGCUAGAUGAUCGUCUCCCUUUGAUCCCUCGACAGGGAUAGUAACUGGAUAGUAGCAGGCCCAGGGCCUGCUCCCACAGGGGCUCUCCGCCGGCCUCAGCCUUCUCCAGGCCAGAUCCACCAGCUCCACCGGGGGCUCCUCCGCAGGCCGCAGCAUGGAGAUCCGCUCUGCUGUGGGACCCACGGGCCGCAGGAGGAAAUCCUGCUCCACUAGGGGCCUCUCCACAGGCUGCAGGGUGUCCUGCCCCACCUCCCGCCCUCCCUCUGCACCGAUCCUGGGGUCUGCAGGGCUGGUUCUCACUCCUCACUCUACCAGCCGCUGUUGCACAGUAGCUGGGAGAGUGAGGAGUAUCUAUUAUAAUGUCUAGUAGUACUUUUCACAGUACUAUUUUUAUAUGCUCUGUAAUAUAAGAAAUUGUAGUGAUGUUUAGACCUCAAAGCUGCAGGAAUUGCUGAUCGAUCCACAAAGUAGUGCAUUUUUCAUAGAAUGAUAGAGCGACUUGGGUCAGAAGGGACCUUAAACAUCAUCUGGGAACAACCCCCCCCAACACAGGCAGGGAUGCCACCUGCUAGAUCAGGUUCGCCGGGGCCCCAUCCAGCCUGGCCUGGAACACCACCAGGGAUCGGGCGUCCACAACCUGUCUGGGCAUCCCGUUCCAGUGCCUCACCAGCCUCUGAGUAAAGGUAGUCUUCCCCCCAUGCAAUCUAAAUCUCCCCUCCUGCAGUUUAAAACCAUUCCCCCCUUGUCCUAUUGUUGUCUACAUGAGUAAAGAAAGAGUCCCUCCCUGUCCUUUUUAUAAGAACCCUGUAAUUAGUGAAAGGCAGCAGUGAAGUCUCCACAGAGCCUGGUCUUCUCCAGCCUGUACAUCCCCAGCUCUCUCGGCCUGUCUUCGUAGGAGAGGUGCUCCAGCCUUCCAAUCAUCCUCGGGGCCCUUCUCCAACAGGUCUGCACCCUUCUUCUGCCAGGGGCCCCAGACCCAGACCCAGACCCAGUACUCCAAGGAAGUGGGGCCUCACGAAGGCAGAGCACAGGGGGAUGAUCAGCUUCCUUGACCUGCCAGCCAC